Molecule: long non-coding RNA, 209 nt
Filed under: Elaeis guineensis (African oil palm)
Lineage: Eukaryota; Viridiplantae; Streptophyta; Magnoliopsida; Arecales; Arecaceae
Description: long non-coding RNA (EGUI_LNC014872)
Source: RNAcentral
ACUAAUCCCAAAGGAUCCAAAUUAGUUUGGGUACCUAAAGUUAAAAUUUAAUUUUAUGUGUACAGGUGUGUCUUGUAUCCCAAACAAUAAAAUAGAAGUGGUAUCUUGAUAGUGGGUGCUUAAGACACAUGACCGAUGAUGAAUCUCAAUUUAUCAUAUUGGAAGCUAAAAAUGGAGGGAUGGUUACCUUUGGGGAUAAUGACAAAGAG